UCAGCUUGAUGGUGAGGUAAUGGCUCACCAUGGCUUCGACGGGUAGCCGGCCUGAGAGGGUGACCGGUCACACUGGGACUGAGACACGGCCCAGACUCCUACGGGAGGCAGCAGUGGGGAAUAUUGGACAAUGGGCGGAAGCCUGAUCCAGCAACGCCGCGUGAGGGAUGACGGCCUUCGGGUUGUAAACCUCUUUCAGCAGGGACGAAGCGCAAGUGACGGUACCUGCAGAAGAAGCACCGGCCAACUACGUGCCAGCAGCCGCGGUAAUACGUAGGGUGCGAGCGUUGUCCGGAAUUAUUGGGCGUAAAGGGCUCGUAGGCGGUUUGUCGCGUCGGGAGUGAAAACCAGGUGCUUAACACCUGGCUUGCUUUCGAUACGGGCAGACUAGAGGUAUUCAGGGGAGAACGGAAUUCCUGGUGUAGCGGUGAAAUGCGCAGAUAUCAGGAGGAACACCGGUGGCGAAGGCGGNUCUCUGGG
This 480-nucleotide ribosomal RNA is filed under the name uncultured actinomycete. RNAcentral describes it as "bacterial SSU rRNA". It matches the Rfam family "Bacterial small subunit ribosomal RNA", at positions 241 to 733 of the family's 1533-position model. The record is from RNAcentral. Lineage: Bacteria; Bacillati; Actinomycetota; Actinomycetes; Actinomycetales.